This 70-nucleotide transfer RNA is filed under the name Chionodraco myersi (Myers' icefish). RNAcentral describes it as "tRNA-Gln". It matches the Rfam family "tRNA". From Rfam's summary of the family: Transfer RNA (tRNA) molecules are approximately 80 nucleotides in length. Their secondary structure includes four short double-helical elements and three loops (D, anti-codon, and T loops). The record is from RNAcentral. Lineage: Eukaryota; Metazoa; Chordata; Actinopteri; Perciformes; Channichthyidae.
UAGAUUGUGUGUAGUGGAAGCACAAAGAGUUUUGAUCUCUUCAGGCGGGGUUCAAAUCCCCAUUUUCUAA